AGCAAGAAAAAGAGAGAAAUUUCUUUCAAUCGAAACACAUUUAACAGCAAUACAAACAAGAAGGAACUGAAAUUGUUUCAACCAAACCCAAAGGCUGCUUCGGUUCGUGGGGAGCCAACUGUCGCGGGAUGAUGAGCCAAAGGAGGAGAAGAGUGAAUGGGUGUAAGGCUGCGAGCAGAUUGAAAUUGGGGAAGAGAUGGGUUUUCUUAUUUUAAUUUUGGGCAAAAUCACGCAAAAGAUCCUCAUACCUUUAGCGUGUUUUGCAUUUAAGUCAUCAAGUCAUGGGUUAAUUAUCCAUAGGUCCUAAAAUGUUAAGCAUCUACUUAUAUUCUGAUCACUAAUUUAUAGGGUAAACCACCAUUUUAGUC
Hibiscus syriacus is the source of this 368-nucleotide long non-coding RNA. RefSeq lists it as uncharacterized. NCBI's taxonomy places the organism in Eukaryota, Viridiplantae, Streptophyta, Magnoliopsida, Malvales, Malvaceae. The record is from RefSeq and is a predicted model, not a curated record. The transcript is spliced from 2 exons.